GGGCGGUUAGCUCAGUUGGUUAGAGUACUUGCUUGACAUGCAAGGGGUCACCGGUUCAAAUCCAGUACCGCCCAC
RNAcentral lists this transfer RNA (75 nucleotides) under bacterium BMS3Abin05. RNAcentral describes it as "tRNA-Val". It matches the Rfam family "tRNA". From Rfam's summary of the family: Transfer RNA (tRNA) molecules are approximately 80 nucleotides in length. The record is from RNAcentral. RNAcentral also lists the same sequence under 1 other name.